Molecule: long non-coding RNA, 169 nt
Organism: Teleopsis dalmanni
Lineage: Eukaryota; Metazoa; Arthropoda; Insecta; Diptera; Diopsidae
Exons: 3
Source: RefSeq, a predicted model, not a curated record
AUUCAAUUUAAUGAAGAAAUCACUGCCGUUGAAGUAGUUGCUGCAUCAAUAAGACGCGUUAUGUUAUUGACAAACAACUAAUUACCCAAAAAAUUGCAUGGAAUUUUGGAGAAAGUAUACUCAUAACUAAUGUUGCUUUAAGGACAAAUGGUAAGCCGGAACAAGUGAU